UGGGGAAUUUUGGGCAAUGGGGGAAACCCUGACCCAGCAACGCCGCGUGAAGGAUGAAGUAUUUCGGUAUGUAAACUUCGAAAGAAUAGGAAGAAUAAAUGACGGUACUAUUUAUAAGGUCCGGCUAACUACGUGCCAGCAGCCGCGGUAAUACGAAGGUGGCUAGCGUUGUUCGGAAUCACUGGGCGUAAAGCGCACGUAGGCGGAUCUUUAAGUCAGGGGUGAAAUCCCGAGGCUCAACCUCGGAACUGCCUUUGAUACUGGAGGUCUCGAGUCCGGGAGAGGUGAGUGGAACUGCGAGUGUAGAGGUGAAAUUCGUAGAUAUUCGCAAGAACACCAGUGGCGAAGGCGGCUCACUGGCCCGGUACUGACGCUGAGGUGCGAAAGCGUGGGGAGCAAACAGGAUUAGAUACCCCUGUAGUCCCUGAGCGGGCUGGCAAGGCGCAU
This 447-nucleotide ribosomal RNA is filed under the name uncultured bacterium. Its description in RNAcentral is "bacterial SSU rRNA". It matches the Rfam family "Bacterial small subunit ribosomal RNA", at positions 355 to 825 of the family's 1533-position model. The record is from RNAcentral.